UACAGAGGGGGCAAGCGUUGUUCGGAAUUACUGGGCGUAAAGGGCGCGUAGGCGGCCUGCUAAGUCGAACGUGAAAUCCCUGGGCUCAACCCAGGAACUGCGUCCGAUACUGGGAGGCUUGAAUCCGGGAGAGGGAUGCGGAAUUCCAGGUGUAGCGGUGAAAUGCGUAGAUAUCUGGAGGAACACCGGUGGCGAAGGCGGCAUCCUGGACCGGUAUUGACGCUGAGGCGCGAAAGCCAGGGGAGCAAACGGG
RNAcentral lists this ribosomal RNA (253 nucleotides) under uncultured bacterium. RNAcentral's name for it is "partial 16S ribosomal RNA". It matches the Rfam family "Bacterial small subunit ribosomal RNA", at positions 524 to 776 of the family's 1533-position model. The record is from RNAcentral.